This is a long non-coding RNA of Lolium perenne, 1316 nucleotides long. RefSeq lists it as uncharacterized. Lineage: Eukaryota; Viridiplantae; Streptophyta; Magnoliopsida; Poales; Poaceae. The record is from RefSeq and is a predicted model, not a curated record.
UCCAACAAAUAUAAUUUUGAAUCUAAAGUGUUUUGUUUUGGUUAAUAAUAAAGUAAUACUUGAAAAACUAAUUUUGGAUCUCCCUCUCACCUUUUGUUCCAAAUUCAAAACAGAAAAGAGUUUGUUUUCAAAUGGUUUAAAUAAAAACAUAAAAAGGAAAACCCCUCCCCUCUUCCAGGCCCCCUCUCUCUUUGGCCCAUCUCCCCUCUUCCUUUCCCUUUUCUUUUCCCGGCGGCCCAAGCCAGCACCGCAGCGGCCCAUCCUUUCUGGCCCAGCCCAUCUCCUGUGGCCCGUACCUCUUCGCUCCGCUCCUUUUUCCCCGUUGUCGUCUUCUCUCUCACGGAGAGCACGCAGGUCGCGUGUGCGCCGUGGUCCUCCCCUACACCGAACGCCCACCUCAACCACUCCCUCCUCUCUUCCUUAAAUUCCCCAGCGAUGCACCCAGAAACCCUAACCCUAUCUUCCCCCUCCCUCGCGCCGCCAGCAACUCCUCUCUCUUCCUCUUUUUCUUCUCUGCAAGCCCCGAGAGCGCCGCCGCAGCAAGCACCUUGUCCCCAUCGUCUCCGGCAACCCCGAGCCGUUCCGUGGGCACCGGCGGGUGCGCCUCGACCUCCUCUUGCUCCUGGCAGAAGGAAUUGAUCCCGGGUGCUCCCAGACGCCGCCACAUCGCGUUUCCCUUCUCCGACUCCGGCGUUCGUUUUCCUCGAUUCCGGCCACUGUGGACUCCCUCCGCCCGUUCUGAGUCCACGUCGAGCUUCAGGAACAUCGCCGCCGGCGACGCUCCGAUGAUCUCCGGGUGAUGGCGCCACCGCCAUCUGGUCCGCGCCGCCAAGGCACACCCGGCGCCCUAUUCCUCGCUUCCUGGGAGCCCCUACAACGCCGCUCGCAUCCAUGCCGACCCGCAGUGGUCACCGUCGCUCACCGCCGCGCGUGCACAUGGUUGCCACGUUGCCGCCAGCUCGGCAUCCUCGUCACCUUCUGGGCCCCAUCCGUCAGCGUCUGCGGCUAGCCCAGCCCCGAUUCCGCCCAGUCAGCAGCGCCGGACCCGCGCAACAGCCUCUGCAGCUAGCUCUCCUCUCGCAUUUGCUUCUUCCCGGAUAGGAUCACGAAGUGUUGAUGUGAGAUACGACGAGUUCUCCGGCAAGUUCUUCUGCAGCUUUUCACAGGCGAGCCCACCCCUUCACCUAUUUUACUUUUACAUGCUCUUUUGAUCUAUUGCUAUCCUUAUGUUGCGAUUCUGUUGUGUCACGUGUCCUAUCCACCUGUUACCUAUAUGUCCGAGAUACACCUCCUCGCCCUACCUAUUGUUUGUUGUU